GGCUUGGUGGUGCAGUAUGUAGCACUGUUGCCUCGCAAAAAAGAUCCUAGGUUUGAAUCCUAGCCGAGCUA
RNAcentral lists this transfer RNA (71 nucleotides) under Anguilla anguilla (European eel). RNAcentral describes it as "tRNA-Arg". It matches the Rfam family "tRNA". Rfam says of the family: Transfer RNA (tRNA) molecules are approximately 80 nucleotides in length. Their secondary structure includes four short double-helical elements and three loops (D, anti-codon, and T loops). The record is from RNAcentral. Lineage: Eukaryota; Metazoa; Chordata; Actinopteri; Anguilliformes; Anguillidae.